GAUGAACGCUGGCGGCGUGCCUAAUACAUGCAAGUCGAGCGAACGGACUAGAAGCUUGCUUCUCUGUUGUUAGCGGCGGACGGGUGAGUAACACGUGGAUAACCUACCUAUAAGACUGGGAUAACUUCGGGAAACCGGCGCUAAUACCGUAUAAUAUUUUGCACCGCAUGGUUCAAAAGUGAAAGACUGUCUUGCUGUUACUUAUAGAUGGAUUCGGGCUGCAUUAGCUAGUUGGUAAGGUAACGGCUUACCAAGGCAACGAUGCGUAGCCGACGUGGGAGGGGGAUAGGCCACACGAGAAGGGGAACAGGGUCCAGGCUACUAAGGGAGGCAGCAGUAGGGAAUCUUAGGCAAUAGGCGAAAGCAUGGCGGAGCAAGGCCGAGUGAGAGAUGAAGGUCUUGGGAUAGUAAAGAUCGGUUAUUAGGGAAGAACAUAUGUGUAAGGAAAUGUGCAGAUAGUGACGGUACCUAAACAGAAAGCCACGGCUAACUACGUG
This 497-nucleotide ribosomal RNA is filed under the name uncultured bacterium. RNAcentral describes it as "partial 16S ribosomal RNA". It matches the Rfam family "Bacterial small subunit ribosomal RNA", at positions 28 to 507 of the family's 1533-position model. The record is from RNAcentral.